RNAcentral lists this ribosomal RNA (472 nucleotides) under uncultured Magnetococcus sp. RNAcentral describes it as "bacterial SSU rRNA". It matches the Rfam family "Bacterial small subunit ribosomal RNA", at positions 79 to 587 of the family's 1533-position model. Lineage: Bacteria; Pseudomonadati; Pseudomonadota; Magnetococcia; Magnetococcales; Magnetococcaceae. The record is from RNAcentral.
UUCGGGCGCCGGCGAGUGGCGAACGGGUGAGUAACACGUGGAGACCUAUCCUUUGGUGGGGGACAACGGCUGGAAACGGCUGCUAAUACCGCAUACGCCCUACGGGGGAAAGAUUUAUUGCCGAAGGAGGGUUCCGCGUCGGAUUAGCUAGUUGGUGGGGUAACGGCCUACCAAGGCGACGAUCCGUAGCUGGUCUUAGAGGAUGAUCAGCCACACUGGGACUGAGACGCGGCCCAGACUCCUACGGGAGGCAGCAGUGGGGAAUAUUGCGCAAUGGGGGAAACCCUGACGCAGCGAUGCCGCGUGGGUGAAGAAGGCCUUAGGGUUGUAAAGCCCUUUCAGUGGGAACGAUAGUGACGGUACCCACAGAAGAAGCCCCGGCUAACUCCGUGCCAGCAGCCGCGGUAAUACGGAGGGGGCGAGCGUUGUUCGGAAUUAUUGGGCGUAAAGCGCGCGUAGGCGGUUUAUCAAG